GAGUAACGCGUAUCCAACGUGCUCACCACUUGGGGAUAACCUUGCGAAAGUAAGACUAAUACCCAAUGAUAUCUCUAGAAGACAUCUGAAAGAGAUUAAAGAUUUAUCGGUGAUGGAUGGGGAUGCGUCUGAUUAGCUUGUUGGCGGGGUAACGGCCCACCAAGGCAACGAUCAGUAGGGGUUCUGAGAGGAAGGUCCCCCACAUUGGAACUGAGACACGGUCCAAACUCCUACGGGAGGCAGCAGUGAGGAAUAUUGGUCAAUGGACGAGAGUCUGAACCAGCCAAGUAGCGUGCAGGAAGACGGCCCUAUGGGUUGUAAACUGCUUUUAUAAGGGAAUAAAGUUAGUCUCGUGAGACUUUUUGCAUGUACCUUAUGAAUAAGGACCGGCUAAUUCCGUGCCAGCAGCCGCGGUAAUACGGAAGGUCCGGGCGUUAUCCGGAUUUAUUGGGUUUAAAGGGAGCGUAGGCCGGAGAUUAAGCGUGUUGUGAAAUGUAGACGCUCAACGUCUGCAGUGCAGCGCGAACUGGUUUCCUUGAGUACGCACAAAGUGGGCGGAAUUCGUGGUGUAGCGGUGAAAUGCUUAGAUAUCACGAAGAACUCCGAUUGCGAAGGCAGCUCACUGGAGCGCAACUGACGCUGAAGCUCGAAAGUGCGGGUAUCGAACAGGAUUAGAUACCCUGGUAGUCCGCACGGUAAACGAUG
Molecule: ribosomal RNA, 705 nt
Filed under: uncultured bacterium
Lineage: Bacteria
Description: bacterial SSU rRNA
Rfam family: Bacterial small subunit ribosomal RNA
Source: RNAcentral